GGAAAUAUGUCUGACAAAAGAAUUACUUUGAUAGAGUACAUAAUAGAGGUUAUUAACCCUCUUAUUUCUA
RNAcentral lists this transfer RNA (70 nucleotides) under Bradypus variegatus (Brown-throated sloth). RNAcentral's name for it is "tRNA-Ile". The record is from RNAcentral. Lineage: Eukaryota; Metazoa; Chordata; Mammalia; Pilosa; Bradypodidae. RNAcentral also lists the same sequence under 1 other name.